Neopsephotus bourkii (Bourke's parrot) is the source of this 226-nucleotide long non-coding RNA. RefSeq lists it as uncharacterized. The transcript has 3 exons. The record is from RefSeq and is a predicted model, not a curated record. Lineage: Eukaryota; Metazoa; Chordata; Aves; Psittaciformes; Psittacidae.
CUGACAGCGGGCGUGGUCACUCUGACACGGGGCGUGGCCUAUGCCGGCGGUGGGCGUGUCCUGCGCGUCCGGCGCGCCGGGCGGCGGCGGGAAGAUGGCGGCGAUCGUGCGCGGCCCGCGGGGGGGGCAGCCGGGUCGGCGCUGACGGGACGGAGCUGCCGUGACCUUGACCCCAGUGCAGCCCUGUGUGCCACCAGCAUGGGGUGAGUGUCCCCGUGGUGAGCGC